AAGCAACAGAAUGUCAACCACUAUAUAUGUCAUCUACUUGCUGUAGUCUGUGUUCACUUGUUCUGCUUUUCUGACUAGAAAGUUGUUUAUUAUAGCUAUGAUAAGGUAGCACUUCUGUAAUUAAAAACUGUUUUCUGUACAGGGUGGCUCAUAUGACUCAUAUGGUGGUGGCAGCCAAUAUGGGCAGGGUUCGUAUGGUGGAUCCUAUAGUAGCAGCCAAUAUGGACAGGGUGGACAUGGUGGAUCAUAUGGAAGCCAAUAUGGCCAGGUAAAAUAUUGUAAAAGG
This 286-nucleotide long non-coding RNA is filed under the name Pogona vitticeps (central bearded dragon). RNAcentral describes it as "lncRNA (ENSPVIG00000023499.1)". Lineage: Eukaryota; Metazoa; Chordata; Lepidosauria; Squamata; Agamidae. The record is from RNAcentral.